GCUCGUUACCAUGGCGAUCUAAUUAAAGCAGCAUCCGAGGCUGCCAGCCCCUAGGUAGGGCCUCGUGUGUAGCUCUUCCGGGCUGGGGCCACGUGGCCUGUCCCUCUUCAGUGGCUCCGCUGGGUUCUGAGAGGGACUAGGCUGUCCGGGAGAUGACCCAGAAAAUGCCUUUGCCUUGGUGAGGGGCUGUGAGUUCAGCGCUGCCCCCCAUGUCUUCUGACAAGGAGAAGAGGAGCCAGGUGUUGCAGUCUCGUUCUGCGACCUCGGCACGUCACGGUCUCCUCCUGCAGAGUCAGGAUGACGUUUCCUGCUUUGUAGAGGAAAGAAAUGACCAGGAAAGUGUCUUGAAAGGCAAAGUGGAAGGGUGGCUUCCGGUUCUCCUUCGCAAGACCAGCUCUGCAGCUCUGAAUCACCGGACACCAUGGCCGCCCAAGUUCACAGCCACCCUCCUGUGCUCCGUGCCCUGGGGCCGGGAUCUCACCGUUCUGCAUUCUGGUAAACUGAUUUCCCCUUUCUGUUCCGGUGGUCUGAUGGAUCGCUCGGGAGUGCAAACCAAUAAAGGACUCCACGCCUCUCUGGUUUCUGGUUCCAAGGAGGCUGGUGUUUGACAAAACAGCUGUAUAUGAGUGCGCACGGGAGCGGUCAUCUCAGUCUCAAACCAAGACCGAGCUGCAUCUCCAGGAUUUGACUCACACACUUAGCC
RNAcentral lists this long non-coding RNA (703 nucleotides) under Fukomys damarensis (Damara mole-rat). Its description in RNAcentral is "lncRNA (ENSFDAG00000024463.1)". The record is from RNAcentral. Lineage: Eukaryota; Metazoa; Chordata; Mammalia; Rodentia; Bathyergidae.